UAGUGGCGAACGGGUGAGUAACACGUGGGCAAUCUGCCCUGCACUCUGGGACAAGCCCUGGAAACGGGGUCUAAUACCGGAUAACACUGCGGAUCGCAUGGUCUGUGGUUAAAAGCUCCGGCGGUGCAGGAUGAGCCCGCGGCCUAUCAGCUUGUUGGUGAGGUAGUGGCUCACCAAGGCGACGACGGGUAGCCGGCCUGAGAGGGCGACCGGCCACACUGGGACUGAGACACGGCCCAGACUCCUACGGGAGGCAGCAGUGGGGAAUAUUGCACAAUGGGCGAAAGCCUGAUGCAGCGACGCCGCGUGAGGGAUGACGGCCUUCGGGUUGUAAACCUCUUUCAGCAGGGAAGAAGCGAAAGUGACGGUACCUGCAGAAGAAGCGCCGGCUAACUACGUGCCAGCAGCCGCGGUAAUACGUAGGGCGCAAGCGUUGUCCGGAAUUAUUGGGCGUAAAGAGCUCGUAGGCGGCUUGUCACGUCGAUUGUGAAAGCCCGGGGCUUAACUCCGGGUCUGCAGUCGAUACGGGCUAGCUAGAGUGUGGUAGGGGAGAUCGGAAUUCCU
RNAcentral lists this ribosomal RNA (564 nucleotides) under Streptomyces sp. 411H05. RNAcentral describes it as "bacterial SSU rRNA". It matches the Rfam family "Bacterial small subunit ribosomal RNA", at positions 93 to 671 of the family's 1533-position model. RNAcentral also lists the same sequence under 2 other names. Lineage: Bacteria; Bacillati; Actinomycetota; Actinomycetes; Kitasatosporales; Streptomycetaceae. The record is from RNAcentral.